AGGUUUGGAUGGAGGAGAAGAAUUUGGUUUACAUGUAAGAAUUGGUUUACAUUGGUAAUCCAGAAGAAGAAAACUAGAGGGUCCUGUAAGCUGCAAUUUAAGGGAAUUGAACCAUUUUUUGAAGCUGAGCCUGGACCUCUUUGUAACACAGUAUAGUAAAUAUAAAAUGGUAGAGGAUGACUGCAAGGAAAACUUUCAUCUGAAGAAGUGGAUGCAACAGGCUUCUGCACUCUGCCCUGCCAAGAUGACCAUGGAUGAGAACUUGGCCAAAAUUCAGCCAAGCACAACUGUUCAGCAGCCUGUGAGGCAGCCAGCCCAAGGGUGCCAGCCCACAGGGAUACCCGGUGGCGAGUGGUCAAAUUGCAGGGAUCCUCCCUGUGAGUUUCUGUUCAAGGCCUAUGGAGAGUCCGCUGGUCAGCAGUGGCAGAAGGAGAGGCAGCAGAUGCCGAGAGGUGAUGGGAUCACUACAAUGACCGAGCCCUGGAAUAGGAAACAGUAGUCCCUGCUGAUGAGGGGCAAGGUCAACAGGCAUGAGAACUGUUUAUAUCCUGAAUAAGGCUCCAGCUUCUGGAUAUCAUUCUAGGCUCUAUAAAGCCUGGCAACGUGGCCAUGGUGGUGGGUUUCAUGAUGGAGAGCAGAGUGACCUAUCUAUGUAAGAAAUCUUUAUAAAUUCCCUUUCUUGGGCUACACUAUACCACCCCAAGUGAGCAUCCAGCCGUGGAUCCUUGCCGUGUGUCCAAAGUACAGCUCAUUCCUGGUUCCUUUUGGCUGGAAAGAGCACGUAAGAGGUGCAGUGGCCUCCCUGAGAUUGGUAUCAGCACUGGGUUGUCCUUUGCCAGUGUUUCUGAGGAUGAGAAUAAAUGAGCACUGUGACCUUUGUUUGCCUGAUUCCAUGUUGGACAUCAC
RNAcentral lists this long non-coding RNA (906 nucleotides) under Equus caballus (horse). Its description in RNAcentral is "lncRNA (ENSECAG00000029913.2)". The record is from RNAcentral. Lineage: Eukaryota; Metazoa; Chordata; Mammalia; Perissodactyla; Equidae.